Molecule: ribosomal RNA, 494 nt
Filed under: uncultured bacterium
Lineage: Bacteria
Description: partial 16S ribosomal RNA
Rfam family: Bacterial small subunit ribosomal RNA
Source: RNAcentral
GAACGCUGGCGGCGUGCCUAAUACAUGCAAGUCGAGCGAACAGACGAGGAGCUUGCUCCUCUGACGUUAGCGGCGGACGGGUGAGUAACACGUGGAUAACCUACCUAUAAGACUGGGAUAACUUCGGGAAACCGGAGCUAAUACCGGAUAAUAUAUUGAACCGCAUGGUUCAAUAGUGAAAGACGGUUUUGCUGUCACUUAUAGAUGGAUCCGCGCCGCAUUAGCUAGUUGGUAAGGUAACGGCUUACCAAGGCGACGAUGCGUAGCCGACCUGAGAGGGUGAUCGGCCACACUGGAACUGGGACACGGUCCAGACUCCUACGGGAGGCAGCAGUAGGGAAUCUUCCGCAAUGGGCGAAAGCCUGACGGAGCGACGCCGCGUGAGUGAUGAAGGUCUUCGGAUCGUAAAACUCUGUUAUUAGGGAAGAACAAAUGUGUAAGUAACUAUGCACGUCUUGACGGUACCUAAUCAGAAAGCCACGGCUAACUACGUG